This 1621-nucleotide unclassified non-coding RNA is filed under the name Hevea brasiliensis (rubber tree). The record is from RNAcentral. Lineage: Eukaryota; Viridiplantae; Streptophyta; Magnoliopsida; Malpighiales; Euphorbiaceae.
GGUUCCAUGGUUGAUAAAUCCAGGAUUUUGAUCAGCACCAAACAAUUCACCUAAAGAAGAGUGAACAUUUAACCGAGGAAAGGGAAAGAGAGAUCAAACAGGUAUUAAAAUAGAUUUAAUUGAUUUUUUGAAGUGAAUUUUUGAGUUCCCCUGUAAUUGUUGUAAUCUCUCUUUGUAGGUUGUGGCAUCAGUGAAUGAGCUUGCUCAAAUCAUGAGGGAUCUAUCUGUCCUUGUGAUAGAUCAGGGUACAAUUGUUGAUCGGAUAGACUACAACAUUCAGAAUGUUGCUUCAUCAGUGGAUGAGGGCUUUAAACAGCUGCAGAAGGUUCUAUGUCUUAUUCUUUCACAUAACGCUUAAGUGGGCAUGCGCACAUUCAUGCACAUGCUCAUCUAUUUUUUAGAAUAUGUUUUUGCUGAGGGUCAAUAUGUUUGGUGUUUUACCAAGAUCAUCCAUAUAUGAUUGAGUCUUCCAUUUUAAUUGAGAUUAAUUUGUGUAUAUGUUUGUGCGAGCAUUUGGAGGUCAGUUGAGCAAUAAUCAUGUUGGGUAUCCUGGAAUUGCAGGCAGAAAGAUCGCAGAAGAAAGGAGGGAUGGUGAUGUGUGCAACAGUGCUUGUUAUUAUGUGUUUCAUCAUGCUAGUCCUCUUGAUCCUCAAGCAGUUAUUUUUGUGAUCAUUUUAUGUUUGUUACUGAUACCUUGGCCCGCUAGUUGAAUGUGAACCUGCAUGUUAGGUUUGCAAGCUGACUGGGAAGUGUGUAAAGAUGACCUGAAUACGUGUCUGACCCACUUGAGUUGUGGGAAAUUAUUAUCUACAUGGGAGUUUCCAUUGCAGUUUUGCCAUUGGAAGAAAAUUUUGCCAGCAGACUGGGCCUUUUCUUUCUUUUCUUUUUAGUUUUUACCCCCUUUUUUAUACAUGUAUUUUUCUGUAGGCCCUACCAUUUUUGGUUGCUAGGCUCCUCAGCAUUUUUUAAAAGUAUAGCUUUAUAUUAACAAUUUUUUCUUGCAAAUAUAUUUAAUUUAAUAAAUGUAGAAGACAUCUUACUCCAGAAUAUGGCGAAUUGAAUUAUAGAUUUUUGUAAAUUAAUAAAGGGUGUAGUUUGAAUGUGGCUUGUGAGGCCUUUAGCGUUCAAGGAGGCUUAGAGAUGGUUGUCAUUGGUGAGCACCCACAAGUAUCCCCAGAAAGUCGCCUAGAGUCCAAUUCUUUUACAUGAUUCAUGUCAGUAUUGGAGGAGCAUGAUUGCUCAGAAUUCUCAGACUGCUUCAGUUGCUGAUUCAUUUGAUGAUUCUUAUGAGACUGCUAAAUUGACCUACGAGCCUUUACUUUAUCUCCAACAUUUAGAUCAUGAGAUGUUUCAUGGAGCAUUUAUCUAGCAAGGGGUAGCACCAGUUCUAAUAAAAUAUAGCAUUGCUGGGCAAUCAGACAAAUGAUUCUUCUGCACAGACCUCUCGAGCCUCCUUGUUCUGCAUUUCUCGUGCAGCUUUCUUCUUCAUGGAUAGGAAAGGUUAGAUACUGUCAUGUUCUCAUUGAAACUAGAGUUCAUCUCUUUAUGUUUGGACAGAUCUUUCAUCAUCAAUUCAAGUAUAAUCAACUAAAUUGUCUCGCAUGAGAUUUUAUAUUGCUUA